UACGGGGGGGGCAAGCGUUGUUCGGAAUUACUGGGCGUAAAGGGCUCGUAGGCGGCCAACUAAGUCGGAUGUGAAAUCCCCAGGCUUAACCUGGGAACUGCAUCCGAUACUGGAUGGCUUGAAUCCGGGAGAGGGAUGCAGAAUUCCAGGUGUAGCGGUGAAAUGCGUAGAUAUCAGGAGGAACACCGGUGGCGAAGGCGGUUCUCUGGGCAUGAUCUGACGCUGAGGAGCGAAAGUGUGGGGAGCGAACAGG
Molecule: ribosomal RNA, 253 nt
Filed under: uncultured bacterium
Lineage: Bacteria
Description: partial 16S ribosomal RNA
Rfam family: Bacterial small subunit ribosomal RNA
Source: RNAcentral